GAUGAACGCUGGCGGCGUGCCUAAUACAUGCAAGUCGAGCGAACGGACGAGAAGCUUGCUUCUCUGAUGUUAGCGGCGGACGGGUGAGUAACACGUGGAUAACCUACCUAUAAGACUGGGAUAACUUCGGGAAACCGGAGCUAAUACCGGAUGAUAUUUUGAACCGCAUGGUUCAAAAGUGAAAGACGGUCUUGCUGUCACUUAUAGAUGGAUCCGCGCUGCAUUAGCUAGUUGGUAAGGUAACGGCUUACCAAGGCAACGAUGCAAAGCCGACCUGAGAGGGUGAUCGGCCACACUGGAACUGAGACACGGUCCAGACUCCUACGGGAGGCAGCAGUAGGGAAUCUUCCGCAAUGGGCGAAAGCCUGACGGAGCAACGCCGCGUGAGUGAUGAAGGUCUUCGGAUCGUAAAACUCUGUUAUUAGGGAAGAACAUAUGUGUAAGUAACUGUGCACAUCUUGACGGUACCUAACCAGAAAGCCACGGCUAACUACGUG
Molecule: ribosomal RNA, 497 nt
Filed under: uncultured bacterium
Lineage: Bacteria
Description: partial 16S ribosomal RNA
Rfam family: Bacterial small subunit ribosomal RNA
Source: RNAcentral